GUGGGGAAUAUUGGACAAUGGGCGCAAGCCUGAUCCAGCAAUGCCGCGUGAGUGAUGAAGGCCUUCGGGUUGUAAAGCUCUUUCGCACGCGACGAUGAUGACGGUAGCGUGAGAAGAAGCCCCGGCUAACUUCGUGCCAGCAGCCGCGGUAAUACGAAGGGGGCUAGCGUUGUUCGGAAUUACUGGGCGUAAAGGGCGCGUAGGCGGUACUUCAAGUCAGGCGUGAAAGCCCCGGGCUCAACCUGGGAACCGCGCUUGAGACUGGAGAACUAGAGUUCGGGAGAGGAUGGUGGAAUUCCCAGUGUAGAGGUGAAAUUCGUAGAUAUUGGGAAGAACACCGAUGGCGAAGGCAGCCAUCUGGACCGACACUGACGCUGAGGCGCGAAAGCGUGGGGAGCAAACAGGAUUAGAAACCCCAGUAGUCC
This 425-nucleotide ribosomal RNA is filed under the name uncultured bacterium. RNAcentral's name for it is "bacterial SSU rRNA". It matches the Rfam family "Bacterial small subunit ribosomal RNA", at positions 354 to 796 of the family's 1533-position model. The record is from RNAcentral.